CGCAUACGUCCUACGGGAGAAAGCAGGGGACCUUCGGGCCUUGCGCUAUCAGAUGAGCCUAGGUCGGAUUAGCUAGUUGGUGAGGUAAUGGCUCACCAAGGCGACGAUCCGUAACUGGUCUGAGAGGAUGAUCAGUCACACUGGAACUGAGACACGGUCCAGACUCCUACGGGAGGCAGCAGUGGGGAGUAUUGGACAAUGGGCGAAAGCCUGAUCCAGCCAGGCCGCGUGUGUGAAGAAGGUCUUCGGAUUGUA
This 255-nucleotide ribosomal RNA is filed under the name uncultured bacterium. Its description in RNAcentral is "partial 16S ribosomal RNA". It matches the Rfam family "Bacterial small subunit ribosomal RNA", at positions 170 to 427 of the family's 1533-position model. The record is from RNAcentral.